CAUUGACAAUGAACUACAACCAUUGUCCGCCUGGGAACUACGAGCACCAGCUUAAAACCCAAAGGACUUGGCGGUGCUUUAGAUCCACCUAGAGGAGCCUGUUCUAGAACCGAUAACCCCCGUUAAACCUCACCCCUCCUUGUUUAUCCCGCCUAUAUACCACCGUCGUCAGCUUACCCUGCGAAGAUCCAACAGUAAGCACAAUUGGCACAGCCCAAAACGUCAGGUCGAGGUGUAGCGUAUGGAGGGGGAAGAAAUGGGCUACAUUCCCUACCUCAGGGAAUCACGAACGAUACUCUGAAAUAAGUAUCUAAAGGAGGAUUUAGCAGUAAGCAGAAAAUAGAGCGUUCCGCUGAAACCGGCCCUGAAGCGCGC
This 375-nucleotide ribosomal RNA is filed under the name Siganus doliatus (barred spinefoot). Its description in RNAcentral is "partial 12S ribosomal RNA". It matches the Rfam family "Bacterial small subunit ribosomal RNA", at positions 801 to 1384 of the family's 1533-position model. The record is from RNAcentral. Lineage: Eukaryota; Metazoa; Chordata; Actinopteri; Siganidae.